GGUCAUGAGCAUCAGCGUCAAGCCCCGGCUGGCUGAUCGGCAACCCUCCAACCGCGGUGGGGUGCUCCGGGUGAUGACCGGGUUGUGGGAUCGCAGCGACGAUCCCCGGCAAGCGCGGGUC
This 121-nucleotide non-coding RNA is filed under the name Gordonia terrae. RNAcentral describes it as "SAM-IV sequence". It matches the Rfam family "SAM (S-adenosyl methionine) riboswitch aptamer". From Rfam's summary of the family: SAM-IV is a mRNA element that regulates gene expression via direct sensing of S-adenosylmethionine (SAM or AdoMet). SAM-IV riboswitches share conserved nucleotide positions with the previously described SAM-I riboswitches sequence analysis and molecular recognition experiments suggest that SAM-I and SAM-IV riboswitches share similar ligand binding sites, but have different scaffolds. The record is from RNAcentral. Lineage: Bacteria; Bacillati; Actinomycetota; Actinomycetes; Mycobacteriales; Gordoniaceae.